GAAACUAUCAAUAGCCUCCGGACAAGAUCAGGAGCACGCAUUCAGCCGAUGCAACUUCCUGAAGGAGAACAAUCAAAAGAAAGAACCGUGAGAGUGACUGGUGAUAGAAAGCAGAUUGAGCGGGCUAGAGAAAUGAUUCAAGAAGUCAUGGAUCAGGUUUGUAUUCAUUAUCAAUCCUGUUCUUU
Long non-coding RNA from Ipomoea nil (Japanese morning glory), 185 nucleotides. RefSeq lists it as uncharacterized. Lineage: Eukaryota; Viridiplantae; Streptophyta; Magnoliopsida; Solanales; Convolvulaceae. The transcript has 2 exons. The record is from RefSeq and is a predicted model, not a curated record.